UUCGAAAGUCACCAAAUUUCACGAUGUCACAAAUGUCUUGAUACUUCGGCUUUCAUCCCGUUUCCUGUUAAAUCAUUUAUCUUGCACGUAGAUUAAAUGAUCCUACAACAAACUGCUGAGUAACAAAUAUGUCAAUUCCUUUAUUUUACGAUGAUUUAACUUAAAACAAGAUUUCAACGUCCGUGUAUCCCAUACAGAGUUAUUCCGCUUUUACGGCUAACUUUUGUCAAACUUCAUGAGCCUCAACUUACAGAUCAGCUCACGCGGAAAACCCAUUCUACUCGAUCCUCGGAGGAUGGCCAAAACGAAUACUAAGACUAAGACUCGAAGUUUCUUCGAGUCAGCCAUCUUCCGUCAAGGAAUUUCGCUAUCUGACUCUGACUAUCUGACAGGAUUUAUGCGAAGUCACUCGAAGGAAAUCCUCGAAGUGACUCGGGAUGAAAUCCAAUUAGCGGAAUACACACCUGAAUCGGUUUCUUUAGUUCCCGAGUCACUUGACGGAAUUCCUUCGAGUGACUCCGAGACGAAUUAAUAGUUACCUGUAAAAAUUUAACUGUGUCUCCUAGUAACUUCGAGGACAGAUUUAACAUUUGUUGGAGUAGGAUAAUUAUAUCUUACGUAGUGAUACGCUAGAAAAAACACAGUAUUUGUGAAUAAUAUUUAUGGUACCUUUUUUAUUAAAAUUAAAACAAUUUAUUAUCUACCCGAUUUUUCUGUUCACUUAUUAUUAUUUCAUAACUUUAUGAGUAGUUGAGGCAGUUAUUUCUCUCUUUUUUGUAGUUCCUUCUAGAUAAAUUAUCAAAUGAACAGCAACAAAAACUAUCAGCAAUAUUAUUACAUAUUUGGUAUGUUAAUACAAUAAAGUUACUGAAAUUCUUCUAUGAAAAUACAGGUCAUUUUGACCCAUUAACGUUCGCCAGAAAUUUAGUGUACACAAACAAAUAAAGUGGCAUUCGUUCUAAUUAGUAAACGAUCGCCGUUCGAUCAAACAGUAAAAUAUGUUACGCUAAAUGGCGUUUCAAAUAAAUCAAUUAAGAUAAUUUAACUACUUAACAUCUCAGGAAUGGCAUAAUUAAUUAUAUUCUAUUAAGCCCCUACUAAUCUCAUGGUUAAACAUUGAGCAGAGACUGCCAACAAAUUUGUAAAUCCCUCUGCUCUACACUUAGGGCUAUACUCAUAGACAAUAUUCCAACACCACUCAUUGAGUACACUCAAAUAAAUUGCCUAACGGUCACGUCUUUACUCAGGAAAGAUUCAAUUUGUAUUUAUAAUGGUGAGUGACAGUCGAGUCAACUCCCAAGAGUGAGUGACUGUUGAGGGAGGUCCUGGGGACCCUUGAGUGUUUCUCAAGGUCUCAUAAUGUAAGUUUAGAUGAUAAUUUUACAGUAUUUAAUUAAUUUGAAGGUAAGAUAAUGGUGUCAUGUUAAAGCGGAAGGUCAUAUUUGUGCAAGGUAUUUUGGAAAAAUUUAUUAUGUUCUUUUUUAAUAUAAGUUGUUGAGAACGAGGAAAACGCAAACUGACUCAACAAAUUAAAAGACCAUUUAAUUAAUAAAAACAGUUUAAAUAGAUCUAGGAAAUCAAAUAUACAUCUACGAAACCUAGCCUAACGGGGUUUAUCAGUCACUCCCAGAAACACACGUCGUAGUAACAAAUAUUUACAUUUCACAAGCCUAGAUAUCGGUUAAUCUAUCCUGAAAAAUAUAAAUAAUCCGUCAAAUGAAAUGUCAUGAAGAACCUAUCAUUAUUAAAUCUCAUUGUUUAAAUGACAACAGAAACAUUUAUUUUAUAAAAAGAUAAGAGCCGCGCCAUGAGAAAACCAACAUAGUGCGUUUGCAGUCUGGUCAAGAUCCAUGCUGUUCGCUUUCAAAGCCUAUUGCAAUUAGAGAAACUAUUAGCGGAGAGUAUGGAUCAUGACCAGACUGCGCCGAUACGCAGGUUGGUCUGGAUCCAUGCUGGUCGCAAACGCACUAUGUUGGUUUUCUCAUGGUGCGGCUCAAUUAUGUGUUUAGUAAUUGAAAUUAAAAAAAAUACGCGGGCUGGCAUUCAGAAAACACCAACAAUUAAUGGCAGAGUUAAACAUUCAGUUGUUUAAAUUAAUUUCAAUUUCAGCGAAAAUUAAACUCUAUAUUUCUAAGUAUAAAUUAAAUUCUACUAAUGCAGAUGAGUAGACUGGCUGACGGACGAACGGACGGAAGGACGUAUUAUAAAACAAAUAGACGAACGGACGGACGGAUAAACAUACAGACGACAAUAAGAUGACAACUUCCAACUACAAAAAUAAUGAUCAGCACUUUUGCAUAUCUUUGAUGUCAUUGUCAUAUAAACCGUUAUAAUCCUCUAAAUCCAUUGUGUACAAUAAAACCAUUACUCGAGCUGUCCUUCCGAAAGUUAAGAUUGAGUGGAAUUUAUGAAUAUGACUUUCGAACUCCACUCACACUCCCGCAAGGUCUACUCGAGGUCCACUUGAGUGAUACUUACCCAAGUUUGAGUCAAGUGUGAGUUUGAGUAACGACUACGAAUAUAGCCCUUAGUCGGCACUUAUUUCAUUUUAACAGUUUGUAAACAUGUGGAAAUAAUUGCUGUUCUUUAUUAGGGCAAAAGCCUCUAUAAAGCGCUGUUUAGGUGGCAUCAAUUCACAUUUGCCUUGAAAGUGUACUAAAGUCUUCAUAGUGACAGUUGUAAUAAGUUUCUUAAUACAGAGAUUUUUUUUCACAAAGUUUAUCAUGUCUUUGCGUCAACGCUCUAAGAAGGAUAAUUCUUUUCUUGUGAGAUACUUCGAAGACGGCGAAUAUCAGGUCCGUUCACGUGGACAUUUCAAAACAUCUGACAAGGUAAUUAUCUGUUUUAUAUUUCAUUUUAUUUUAAUAUCAAUUUAUUUUUUUAACUGACGUCACUUAUUAAAGGACAAUGAAAUGAACCGUUUUUAAUGACUGAUUAAAAGACAACAACCUUAAAUAACUGUUUAUUAAAAUUACUUAAACUACUAUCUAUGUAGAGUUAUAAUAUAAACUAUUAGAAUUUCAGUUUUAAUUCGAUGACUAUUUGUUAACAACACGUCGAAACAAUUAAAGUUAAUGAUAACAUUUAGAAGCAGAAACCAUUAGAAGCAACUUGAAAAUGGAAGCGUGUAUUUAUGUAUAUUAAGUAAAUUAAACUUGAAGUGUACACUAGGACUCGUCGUAGAUUACCGGGUAAUGUUUGAAGUUCGAACUAAAAAAAUCUGUUUCGCUAAGAACACAAAAUUAAUCAUUUGAACUAUCUAGAUUUGUGUAACAGUUACGUUCAUUAUCUGUUAAAACAAUAAAGUUUUUUUUUCUAAAUCUGGCACAAAUCAGAUGCUCUUGCAAACUAAGUUUGGAUAUUUUAUGCUUAAACACAUUUGUAUAAACUGUUAUAUUAUAAUCAUAUACCGACCCAUCAGGCGCACCUUAUGUAAAAAAAAAAGUAUUUAUAAGCAAUUUAUUACAUAUUUUCAUUGCUUCGUUCAGAAAAAAAAAUCUUUUAGCUAUAUUGCUGUUAUCAAUGGCCAUAAAUCUACCUUUUUAUGAUAACGUAUUUUAAUCCUUGUGUACCGCAGUUACAGGGGUUGUAUAGUACGUCAUCAACAGGUGCGCGCAACACUUCCCGAUGCGGCUUUUUGUGUCAAAACAUCUCGAUUCGGUACAUGAAAGAUGAAAAAGGAAACAAAACUUCUAGUCUGCAUCAAUGGUAUUGUCAAUAUAUGUUAAAAAGGAUUGCUGAGUGAUUGGCAUGCAAGACAUAAUUGACGUAUUAUAUUUUCCAAAAGCUGUACGACAUAAUAUUUGAGAAGUGGAGAACACCCUCUAACGGAAUUACCCCAGACAAGGAUUUCAACACUCGGUUGCUGUUUGAAGGGGCCACGUGUUCAUCACAAUUGCUCGGGAAAAAUGAGAAAUGACUGUAUCGCGCCAACGAAAUGUUCUUAUUAAUGGGUUUUAGAUGUGCGCAGGGAAAGAACAAGAGUGACUGCAACCGAAUUAUAAUUACCACUUAGUACAAUGGGACAUCGAUUGAAUCUACACUAGAAAGCGGUUCAGGAUUUAAAAUUUGACUUAUGUUCAGAUUUUGCUUGCAAAUGUUAGUGCACCCAAUUACAUAUUAAAACUCGAAGUGAGCUUGAACAGUGGUAGGACAGUUUUACUUGCAAUGUAAAUUAUUUUAUUUUUCUUAAACUGUUUAGUUGUUGAAAAUGUUGUUGUAUAAACGAUUAUUUAAAGUAGGAAAUUUUACUGUUUUUUUUAUUUAAACCCUUACACAGUGGAAGCCAUUGUGACAUAAACAUACGCACAUACACUUUCAAGACAUAGCAACAUUUUCCUUGUUAUCAGCUAAUGUAAUAUAUAUACACACAAAUCAACGAAAGUAGAUUUAUUACUUGAUUUUAGCAAUUCUAAAUUUUUUACACACAUAUACGAGUAUAAUGAUGAUUCAUUAACUUUGGACGUAAUUCUUUAUAACUCAACAUUUAAAAAAAAUGAAAUUCACCUUAAGUUUCAUUAAGAUCGCAUUUCUGACAAAUUCGUUCCACAUUGUAUGCCUUAAUUUUCUUCGAUCAAGAAGUAGUGUAUAUCUCUAUGUCACAUAUUCUCAACAAUUG
Molecule: long non-coding RNA, 4618 nt
Organism: Mercenaria mercenaria
Lineage: Eukaryota; Metazoa; Mollusca; Bivalvia; Venerida; Veneridae
Exons: 3
Source: RefSeq, a predicted model, not a curated record